This 408-nucleotide ribosomal RNA is filed under the name uncultured bacterium. RNAcentral's name for it is "bacterial SSU rRNA". It matches the Rfam family "Bacterial small subunit ribosomal RNA", at positions 84 to 487 of the family's 1533-position model. The record is from RNAcentral.
CCUUUAUCUUAGCGGCGGACGGGUGAGUAAUGCUUAGGAAUCUGCCUAUUAGUGGGGGACAACAUUCCGAAAGGGAUGCUUAAUACCGCAUACGUCCUACGGGAGAAAGCAGGGGAUCUUCGGACCUUGCGCUAAUAGAUGAGCCUAAGUCGGAUUAGCUAGUUGGUGGGGUAAAGGCCUACCAAGGCGACGAUCUGUAGCGGGUCUGAGAGGAUGAUCCGCCACACUGGGACUGAGACACGGCCCAGACUCCUGCGGGAGGCAGCAGUGGGGAAUAUUGGACAAUGGGGGGAACCCUGAUCCAGCCAUGCCGCGUGUGUGAAGAAGGCCUUAUGGUUGUAAAGCACUUUAAGCGAGGAGGAGGCCACUGAGACUAAUACUCUUGGAUAGGGACGUUACUCGCAGAAU